Molecule: small RNA, 21 nt
Filed under: Arabidopsis thaliana (thale cress)
Lineage: Eukaryota; Viridiplantae; Streptophyta; Magnoliopsida; Brassicales; Brassicaceae
Description: ATSL143880
Source: RNAcentral
AUGCAUUUCAUUAUUAUCUUU